Molecule: regulatory RNA element, 170 nt
Organism: Catenibacterium sp. CAG:290
Lineage: Bacteria; Bacillati; Bacillota; Erysipelotrichia; Erysipelotrichales; Coprobacillaceae
Rfam family: Lysine riboswitch aptamer
About the family: Riboswitches are metabolite binding domains within certain messenger RNAs that serve as precision sensors for their corresponding targets. Allosteric rearrangement of mRNA structure is mediated by ligand binding, and this results in modulation of gene expression.
Source: Rfam
UUGGCAAAUAGAGGUGCAUGCGUUAAGAAUUCGUUAUUAAUGGAUACAGCCAGAUAAUGAAGGGGGAGCAAAUGCCGAAGAGACAGGGAACUGUAUAUGAACUGUUAUCUGGGGGAUAAGAGAAGAUCUUAUUCACUGUCACAAAAUAUUUGUGGUGCGCUAUUGAAUAU